GACGAACGCUGGCGGCGUGCUUAACACAUGCAAGUCGAACGGAAAGGCCCUGCUUUUGUGGGGUGCCCGAGUGGCGAACGGGUGAGUAACACGUGAGUAACCUGCCCUUGACUUUGGGAUAACUUCAGGAAACUGGGGCUAAUACCGGAUAGGAGCUCCUGCUGCAUGGUGGGGGUUGGAAAGUUUCGGCGGUUGGGGAUGGACUCGCGGCUUAUCAGCUUGUUGGUGGGGUAGUGGCUUACCAAGGCUUUGACGGGUAGCCGGCCUGAGAGGGUGACCGGCCACAUUGGGACUGAGAUACGGCCCAGACUCCUACGGGAGGCAGCAGUGGGGAAUAUUGCACAAUGGGCGGAAGCCUGAUGCAGCAACGCCGCGUGCGGGAUGACGGCCUUCGGGUUGUAAACCGCUUUCGCCUGUGACGAAGCGUGAGUGACGGUAAUGGGUAAAGAAGCACCGGCUAACUACGUGCCAGCAGCCGCGGUGAUACGUAGGGUGCGAGCGUUGUCCGGAUUUAUUGGGCGUAAAGGGCUCGUAGGUGGUUGAUCGCGUCGGAAGUGUAAUCUUGGGGCUUAACCCUGAGCGUGCUUUCGAUACGGGUUGACUUGAGGAAGGUAGGGGAGAAUGGAAUUCCUGGUGGAGCGGUGGAAUGCGCAGAUAUCAGGAGGAACACCAGUGGCGAAGGCGGUUCUCUGGGCCUUUCCUGACGCUGAGGAGCGAAAGCGUGGGGAGCGAACAGGCUUAGAUACCCUGGUAGUCCACGCUGUAAACGGUGGGUACUAGGCGUGGGGUCCAUUCCACGGGUUCCGUGCCGUAGCUAACGCUUUAAGUACCCCGCCUGGGGAGUACGGCCGCAAGGCUAAAACUCAAAGGAAUUGACGGGGCCCCGCACAAGCGGCGGAGCAUGCGGAUUAAUUCGAUGCAACGCGUAGAACCUUACCUGGGUUUGACAUGGAUCGGGAGUGCUCAGAGAUGGGUGUGCCUCUUUUGGGGUCGGUUCACAGGUGGUGCAUGGCUGUCGUCAGCUCGUGUCGUGAGAUGUUGGGUUAAGUCCCGCAACGAGCGCAACCCUUGUUCACUGUUGCCAGCACGUUAUGGUGGGGACUCAGUGGAGACCGCCGGGGUCAACUCGGAGGAAGGUGGGGAUGACGUCAAGUCAUCAUGCCCCUUAUGUCCAGGGCUUCACGCAUGCUACAAUGGCUGGUACAGAGAGUGGCGAGCCUGUGAGGGUGAGCGAAUCUCGGAAAGCCGGUCUCAGUUCGGAUUGGGGUCUGCAACUCGACCUCAUGAAGUCGGAGUCGCUAGUAAUCGCAGAUCAGCAACGCUGCGGUGAAUACGUUCCCGGG
Molecule: ribosomal RNA, 1343 nt
Filed under: uncultured bacterium
Lineage: Bacteria
Description: 16S ribosomal RNA
Rfam family: Bacterial small subunit ribosomal RNA
Source: RNAcentral